Molecule: small RNA, 27 nt
Filed under: Bombyx mori (domestic silkworm)
Lineage: Eukaryota; Metazoa; Arthropoda; Insecta; Lepidoptera; Bombycidae
Description: ovarian small RNA-12107
Source: RNAcentral
AGCGACGAAAACCAUAUUGUAUGGCUC